RNAcentral lists this transfer-messenger RNA (445 nucleotides) under Parachlamydiaceae. RNAcentral describes it as "JACDHD01 sp013821265 Standard tmRNA". It matches the Rfam family "transfer-messenger RNA". From Rfam's summary of the family: Bacterial tmRNA, also known as 10Sa RNA or SsrA, is named for its dual tRNA and mRNA-like properties. Its role is to liberate the mRNA from a stalled ribosome. RNAcentral also lists the same sequence under 1 other name. The record is from RNAcentral. Lineage: Bacteria; Pseudomonadati; Chlamydiota; Chlamydiia; Parachlamydiales.
GGGGGUGUCACGGUUUCGACUUAGAAGUGAAACAUUGAUUGCAUGCAGAGGACGUCGGUUGGCCUCUUAAAUCAUCCGAUAAAACUAUUAAAUGCCAAAACAGGUGUUAACAGUCAGAAAGUGACAAGCAUUGCUGGUUAUGUAGAAGCACCUCGUGCUAAUACAUACGCAGUAUCUUACACUGCUGCUGCUGCUGCUUAAUCCUAACAGAUUAAAUAGCACGAUAACCUAGAGCUGGACCAAGGGGUCUAGGAUCUAUCGUUAAAGUCUUGGUAUGAUAGAGAAUUCCGCCGCUUCUAGGGGCUUUCUAUCGAGAUUAAAUGAAGCAAGUUGAUUCUAGUGUCGUGUUUUGCAUGGGAAUCGACUCAACUUCAAAACACUAAGCAUGUAGUGGUUAAUGCGUAGUUUGCUAAGGACGAGAGUUCAAUUCUCUCCACCUCCAAUU